GGGGGUGUUGUUCACUCCUGAGCUUCAACUCAGGUCAUUUGUUCCAUUAUCCUGGUUCAUGUGUCAAGGUCGGCCCAGCCCUGAUGCAUAGCAGAAAAUACAGCUCUCUUUCAGCAGCCUGAGGGAGCUCCUCACUUGAGCAUUAAGCAGGGCCACAGAACCCACUGGAGGCAGAAGAGACACCACAGCUGAGUGGUCUCACCUGAGCUGCUCUCUCUCUCUCGCUUUUUAUCUUCACCCCCACCUGAGGUUUUCAACCAGAAACUCUUAGAAUGUUCCAGAUGUUGGCUGGACUGAGGACAGCUCCCCCAGGAGUUCCACAAGUGCCUGGAGGCAGGGGGAGUGAGGAAGGAUGGACCCACACUCACCCCUCUCGGGUUCCCAGAAGAAAUCCCUCUCGGGUUUCCCUCCUCACCCAGUAAAGAGAUCUGUAAGACAGGAUCCCCGUUCUGGAAAGCCCUCUUUGCUCUUGGUUCUCUCCCAGGCUCCUCCCCCAGCCAUCCACUCGUCCUCCCCUCUCUGAAGUGUGCCUCAGGAAGCUCUCACUUGGUCAAACCCAAGUUCCCAUAUAAAGGAGAGAAGACAGGAGCUCAUUCUGUUGCUCAGAGACACACAGCAACGGUACGACCCACGCGUGGUGCUGGAUGAUUCUUCUGAUACACGCCCCACUGUGGGCGUGGAUACUUCCCCACUCUCCACACCGGGCUCGGCCCUGUGACUUGCUCUGGGCCAUGGAGUGUUAGCCCACACAGUGCAAGCAAAGAUUCUGUGACUGCCUUGCUCUCUUGCACUCCCGCCAUUGGCAUGAGAAGGACAAGCCAGGGCUGGCCCAGAAGGAGGCUGAAGGACACCAGAGCCAGAACCAUUUCCAGCGGGAGCUCAGGCCCUCACACUCCCCUUCCUCUGUGGCCUCGCCUUCCCAUGUCACAUGACGGACUCGUAAACGGCGGAGGGGCUUACACACAAAAAGGAGCAACCCUCUGGCUGCCUUCACUCAUGUCCCGCUCUUCUUUAGAGGCGGGAGGCCUGCCAUCUGUCCCUCAAUCCCUCAAGACCUAAUUGGUGAUUGACGUCUCCUGUCGAUAGCCAUCAGCCCUUCGGCCAGCACCAUUUUACUGCUGGACUGCAUCACACGAAUUACCCACACGGGGUAACAGGAAGUCGCUUCAGAAGGAGAUCCUGACCCCACGGAGGGGCUAUGGAAGACAAGGUCUCGAGACCCUAGAGGAGCCACAGCCCGUCACCACGCUGGUUCCAUCCUCUUCGGGUUUACCCUUCGCCUGGGAAAAUCGCCCGUUAGGCGCUUAAUGAUGAAGCCCACGAGGCAGAAGUGCUGUAACACAGGACUCAGCACCCCCACCUGUUUUGCCACCCUGGACGUCCUCC
This 1386-nucleotide long non-coding RNA is filed under the name Felis catus (domestic cat). RNAcentral describes it as "lncRNA (ENSFCAG00000051942.1)". Lineage: Eukaryota; Metazoa; Chordata; Mammalia; Carnivora; Felidae. The record is from RNAcentral.